Non-coding RNA from Fukomys damarensis (Damara mole-rat), 45 nucleotides. Lineage: Eukaryota; Metazoa; Chordata; Mammalia; Rodentia; Bathyergidae. The record is from Rfam.
AGCUAGGUUUUUUUCAAAGCCACCAAUAAUUCUUUAAAAAAUUCC